Molecule: non-coding RNA, 54 nt
Organism: Salmo salar (Atlantic salmon)
Lineage: Eukaryota; Metazoa; Chordata; Actinopteri; Salmoniformes; Salmonidae
Source: Rfam
AAUGCACCAAUUUGUAAGUCGCUCUGGAUAAGAGCGACUGCUAAAUGACAUAAA